AUGGGGACACACACCGGGUACACAGGGAUACACUCACAGGUGCAUGGGGACACACACCGGGUACACAGGGAUACACUCACAGGUAUAUGGGGACACACACCGGGUACACAGGGAUACACCCACAGGUACAUGGGGACACACACCGGGUACACAGGGAUACACUCACAGGUGCAUGGGGACACACACAGGGGUACACAGGGAUACACUCACAGGUGCAUGGGGACACACACAGGGUACACAGGGAUACACUCACAGGUACAUGGGGACACACACAGGGUACACAGGGAUACACACAGGUACAUGGGGACACACACGGGUACACAGGGAUACACUCACAGGUGCAUGGGGACACACAGGGUACACAGGAUACACUCACAGGUACAGGGACACACAGGGUACACAGGGAUACACCCACAGGUACAUGGGGACACACACAGGGUACACAGGGAUACACUCACAGGUACAUGGGGACACACACAGGGGUAUGCAGGGAUACACUCACAGGUACAUGGGGACACACACAGGGUACAUAGGGAUACACUCACAGGUGCACGGGGACACACACAGGGUACACAGGGAUACACUCACAGGUGCACGGGGACACACACAGGGUACACAGGGAUACACUCACAGGUGCACGGGACACACAGGGUACACAGGGAUACACUCACAGGUACACGGGACACACACAGGGUACACAGGGAUACACUCACAGGUACACGGGACACACAGGGUACACAGGGAUACACUCACAGGUACAUGGGGACACACACAGGGUACACAGGGAUACACUCACAGGUACAUGGGGACACACACAGGGGUAUGCAGGGAUACACUCACAGGUACAUGGGGACACACACAGGGUACAUAGGGAUACACUCACAGGUGCAGGGGACACACAGGGUACACAGGGAUACACUCCACAGGUGCAGGGACACACACACAGGGUACACAGGGAUACACUCACAGGUGCACGGGGACACACACAGGGUACACAGGGAUACACUCACAGGUGCACGGGGACACACACAGGGUACACAGGGAUACACUCACAGGUACAUGGGGACACACACAGGGUACACAGGGAUACACUCACAGGUGCACGGGGACACACACAGGGUACACAGGGAUACACUCACAGGUACAUGGGGACACACACAGGGUACACAGGGAUACACUCACAGGUACAUGGGGACACACACACACACAGACAGACACAAGUACACAGAGAAACACGGACACAUGCACUCACACACACAUGUGCACGCCAAAUCAUGGCCACUUGCUGGGUCAUGUCCGACUCUUUGUGACCCCAUGCACUGCAGCUUGCCAGGCUUUCCUGUCCUCCACUAUGGCCCGGAGUUUGCUCAAAUCCAUGUCCGUUGA
RNAcentral lists this long non-coding RNA (1386 nucleotides) under Bos grunniens (domestic yak). Its description in RNAcentral is "lncRNA (ENSBGRG00000020120.1)". The record is from RNAcentral. Lineage: Eukaryota; Metazoa; Chordata; Mammalia; Artiodactyla; Bovidae.